Molecule: transfer RNA, 73 nt
Filed under: Prevotella sp.
Lineage: Bacteria; Pseudomonadati; Bacteroidota; Bacteroidia; Bacteroidales; Prevotellaceae
Also listed under: 5 other names
Description: tRNA-Phe
Rfam family: tRNA
About the family: Transfer RNA (tRNA) molecules are approximately 80 nucleotides in length.
Source: RNAcentral
GGCUCUGUAGCUCAGUCGGUAGAGCAAAGGACUGAAAAUCCUUGUGUCGCCAGUUCGAUUCUGGCUGGAGCCA